AACGAACGCUGGCGGCAUGCCUAACACAUGCAAGUCGAACGAGACCUUCGGGUCUAGUGGCGCACGGGUGCGUAACGCGUGGGAACCUGCCCUUAGGUUCGGAAUAACUCCCCGAAAGGGGUGCUAAUACCGGAUAAUGUCUUCGGACCAAAGAUUUAUCGCCUUUGGAUGGGCCCGCGUUGGAUUAGCUAGUUGGUAGGGUAAAAGCCUACCAAGGCGACGAUCCAUGGCUGGUCUGAGAGGAUGAUCAGCCACACUGGGACUGAGACACGGCCCAGACUCCUACGGAAGGCAGCAGUAGGGAAUAUUGGACAAUGGGCGAAAGCCUGAUCCAGCAAUGCCGCGGGAGUGAUGAAGGGCUUAGGGUUGUAAAGCUCUUUUACCCGGGAUGAUAAUGACAGUACCGGGAGAAUAAGCUCCGGCUAACUCCGUG
Molecule: ribosomal RNA, 433 nt
Filed under: uncultured bacterium
Lineage: Bacteria
Description: partial 16S ribosomal RNA
Rfam family: Bacterial small subunit ribosomal RNA
Source: RNAcentral